This 253-nucleotide ribosomal RNA is filed under the name uncultured bacterium. Its description in RNAcentral is "partial 16S ribosomal RNA". It matches the Rfam family "Bacterial small subunit ribosomal RNA", at positions 524 to 776 of the family's 1533-position model. The record is from RNAcentral.
UACGAAGGGGGCUAGCGUUGUUCGGAAUUACUGGGCGUAAAGCGUGCGCAGGCGGUUCGUUGUGUCUGAUGUGAAAGCCCCGGGCUCAACCUGGGAAUGGCAUUGGAAACUGGCGAGCUAGAGUGUGGCAGAGGGGGGUGGAAUUCCGCGUGUAGCAGUGAAAUGCGUAGAGAUGCGGAGGAACACCGAUGGCGAAGGCAGCCCCCUGGGCUAGCACUGACGCUCAGGCACGAAAGCGUGGGGAGCAAACAGG